Molecule: ribosomal RNA, 492 nt
Filed under: uncultured bacterium
Lineage: Bacteria
Description: partial 16S ribosomal RNA
Rfam family: Bacterial small subunit ribosomal RNA
Source: RNAcentral
AGUGAACGCUGGCGGUAGGCCUAACACAUGCAAGUCGAACGGCAGCACAGUAAGAGCUUGCUCUUACGGGUGGCGAGUGGCGGACGGGUGAGGAAUACAUCGGAAUCUACUUUUUCGUGGGGGAUAACGUAGGGAAACUUACGCUAAUACCGCAUACGACCUACGGGUAAAAGCAGGGGAUCCUCGGACCUUGCGCGAUUGAAUGAGCCGAUGUCGGAUUAGCUAGUUGGCGGGGUAAAGGCCCACCAAGGCGACGAUCCGUAGCUGGUCUGAGAGGAUGAUCAGCCACACUGGAACUGAGACACGGUCCAGACUCCUACGGGAGGCAGCAGUGGGGAAUAUUGGACAAUGGGCGCAAGCCUGAUCCAGCCAUACCGCGUGGGUGAAGAAGGCCUUCGGGUUGUAAAGCCCUUUUGUUGGGAAAGAAAAGCAGCAGGUUAAUACCCCGCUGUUCUGACGGUACCCAAAGAAUAAGCACCGGCUAACUUCGUG